This 160-nucleotide ribosomal RNA is filed under the name uncultured Chlamydiales bacterium. Its description in RNAcentral is "partial 16S ribosomal RNA". It matches the Rfam family "Bacterial small subunit ribosomal RNA", at positions 329 to 481 of the family's 1533-position model. Lineage: Bacteria; Pseudomonadati; Chlamydiota; Chlamydiia; Chlamydiales. The record is from RNAcentral.
GCCCAGACUCCUACGGGAGGCUGCAGUCGAGAAUCUUUCGCAAUGGGCGCAAGCCUGACGAAGCGACGCCGUGUGAGCGAAGAAGGCCUUCGGGUUGUAAAGCUCUUUCGCUAGGGAACAAGAGAUAUGGGAUAACACCCCAUUGAUUUGAUGGUACUUG